AGCAAAGUGUGAUCGUAGAAUCAAGGCGAAGAAAGAAGAAUGAUCUAGGGACUCCCUGGUUGCUUUUAUGGUUUUGUUAUGCAAUUGUUAGGAUUGUUACUUCUAGAAUUUAGAAGCAUGUUAGGAUGAUUAUGCUAUUUCUGGAUAAUUGAUGGUUUAAAGAUAUUAUUUAUUGGAUUGUUUUCUUUAUUUGUUCUUCCGCUG
RNAcentral lists this long non-coding RNA (204 nucleotides) under Capsella rubella. Its description in RNAcentral is "long non-coding RNA (CRUB_LNC003858)". The record is from RNAcentral. Lineage: Eukaryota; Viridiplantae; Streptophyta; Magnoliopsida; Brassicales; Brassicaceae.